AUUGAACGCUGGCGGCAUGCUUUACACAUGCAAGUCGAACGGUAACAGGUUAAGCUGACGAGUGGCGAACGGGUGAGUAAUGCAUCGGAACGUGCCCGGUCGUGGGGGAUAACGCAGCGAAAGCUGCGCUAAUACCGCAUACGAUCUGAGGAUGAAAGCGGGGGACCGUACGGCCUCGCGCGAUCGGAGCGGCCGAUGUCAGAUGAGGUAGUUGGUGGGGUAAAGGCUCACCAAGCCGACGAUCUGUAGCUGGUCUGAGAGGACGACCAGCCACACUGGGACUGAGACACGGCCCAGACUCCUACGGGAGGCAGCAGUGGGGAAUUUUGGACAAUGGGCGCAAGCCUGAUCCAGCAAUGCCGCGUGCAGGAAGAAGGCCUUCGGGUUGUAAACUGCUUUUGUACGGAGCGAAAAGGCUCUCUCUAAUACGGAGGGCUCAUGACGGUACCGUAAGAAUAAGCACCGGCUAACUACGUGCCAGCAGCCGCCGUAA
RNAcentral lists this ribosomal RNA (493 nucleotides) under uncultured bacterium. RNAcentral describes it as "partial 16S ribosomal RNA". It matches the Rfam family "Bacterial small subunit ribosomal RNA", at positions 29 to 523 of the family's 1533-position model. The record is from RNAcentral.